GAUGAACGCUGACAGAAUGCUUAACACAUGCAAGUCGAUUCAAUUUACCUUCGGGUAUUGAGGAUGGCGGACGGGUGAGUAACGCGUAAGGAACUUGCCUCUUGGUCUGGGACAACUGUUGGAAACGACAGCUAAUACCGGAUAUUAUGAGAUUCUCGCAUGGGAAACUUAUGAAAGCUAUAUGCGCCAAGAGAGAGCCUUGCGUUCCAUUAGCUAGUUGGUGGGGUAACGGCCCACCAAGGCGACGAUGGAUAGCCGGCCUGAGAGGGUGAACGGCCACAAGGGGACUGAGACACGGCCCUUACUCCUACGGGAGGCAGCAGUGGGGAAUAUUGGACAAUGGGCCACAAGCCUGAUCCAGCAAUUCUGUGUGCACGAUGAAGGUCUUCGGAUUGUAAAGUGCUUUCAGUUGGGAAGAAGAAAGUGACGGUACC
Molecule: ribosomal RNA, 434 nt
Filed under: uncultured prokaryote
Description: bacterial SSU rRNA
Rfam family: Bacterial small subunit ribosomal RNA
Source: RNAcentral